This 38-nucleotide ribosomal RNA is filed under the name Phyllopsora buettneri. RNAcentral describes it as "partial 28S ribosomal RNA". The record is from RNAcentral. Lineage: Eukaryota; Fungi; Ascomycota; Lecanoromycetes; Lecanorales; Ramalinaceae.
AAUAGACCUCGGAUCAGGUUGAAUACCGCCGAACUUAG